UACGUAGGUGGCAAGCGUUGUUCGGAAUUACUGGGCGUAAAGCGUGCGCAGGCGGUUUUGUAAGCCAGAUGUGAAAUCCCCGGGCUUAACCUGGGAAUGGCAUUUGGGACUGCAAGGCUCGAGUGCGGCAGAGGAGACUGGAAUUCCUGGUGUAGCAGUGAAAUGCGCAGAUAUCAGGAGGAACACCGAUGGCGAAGGCAGGUCUCUGGGCCACUACUGACGCUGAGAAGCGAAAGCAUGGGGAGCGAACAGG
This 253-nucleotide ribosomal RNA is filed under the name uncultured bacterium. RNAcentral describes it as "partial 16S ribosomal RNA". It matches the Rfam family "Bacterial small subunit ribosomal RNA", at positions 524 to 776 of the family's 1533-position model. The record is from RNAcentral.